CCUACGGGUGGCAGCAGUGGGGAAUAUUGCACAAUGGGGGAAACCCUGAUGCAGCGACGCCGCGUGAGUGAAGAAGGAUUUCGGGAUGUAAAGCUCUAGCAGCAGGGAAGAAAAGGACGGUACCUGAGUAAGAAGCCCCGGCUAACUACGUGCCAGCAGCCGCGGUAAUACGUAGGGGGCAAGCGUUCUCCGGAUUGACUGGGUGUAAAGGGAGCGUAGACGGCAGCACAAGUCUGGAGUGAAAUGCCGGGGCUUAACCCCGGAACUGCUUUGGAAACUGUGCAGCUAGAGUGCAGGAGAGGUAAGUGGCAUUCCUCGUGUAGCGGUGCACUGCGUAGAUCUUAGGCGGACCACCAGUGGCGCCGGCGGCUUACUGGACUGUACCUGCCGUUGAGGCUCGAAAGCGUGGGGAGCAAACAGGAUUAGCUACCCCAGUAGUC
Molecule: ribosomal RNA, 440 nt
Filed under: uncultured bacterium
Lineage: Bacteria
Description: partial 16S ribosomal RNA
Rfam family: Bacterial small subunit ribosomal RNA
Source: RNAcentral